GACGAACGCUGGCGGCGUGCUUAACACAUGCAAGUCGAACGGUAAGGCUCCAGCUUGCUGGGGUACACGAGUGGCGAACGGGUGAGUAACACGUGGGUGACCUGCCCUGCACUUCGGGAUAAGCCUGGGAAACUGGGUCUAAUACCGGAUAGGACCGCACCGUGAGGGUGUGGUGGAAAGUUUUUUCGGUGUGGGAUGGGCCCGCGGCCUAUCAGCUUGUUGGUGGGGUAAUGGCCUACCAAGGCGGCGACGGGUAGCCGGCCUGAGAGGGGGGACGGCCACAUUGGGACUGAGACACGGCCCAGACUCCUACGGGAGGCAGCAGUGGGGAAUAUUGCACAAUGGGCGGAAGCCUGAUGCAGCGACGCCGCGUGGGGGAUGACGGCCUUCGGGUUGUAAACGCCUUUCACCAUCGACGAAGGGUUUCUGACGGUAGAUGGAGAAGAAGCACCGGCUAACUACGUG
Molecule: ribosomal RNA, 465 nt
Filed under: uncultured bacterium
Lineage: Bacteria
Description: partial 16S ribosomal RNA
Rfam family: Bacterial small subunit ribosomal RNA
Source: RNAcentral